CUUGCAUGUUUGUGGAGUGAUAUAACUCAUAUUAAUCUAUCUUGUCAAAUUUUUUCAUAUUUUUUUGAUGAGUAUUUACAUAGCAUGCAAACGUACGGUGUGCUAAAAUCUGUUUCUCCCACACGACGACGACCACGACCACCAGUUUUUUUUUUCUUUUUUUGGUUCUAAACUGAUCCGAGAACUCUUUAUUUGGCUGUUUUUUAUGCAUGUUCGUUUGAGAAGACUCCC
RNAcentral lists this long non-coding RNA (231 nucleotides) under Oryza brachyantha (malo sina). RNAcentral's name for it is "long non-coding RNA (OBRA_LNC002153)". The record is from RNAcentral. Lineage: Eukaryota; Viridiplantae; Streptophyta; Magnoliopsida; Poales; Poaceae.